This 765-nucleotide ribosomal RNA is filed under the name Bacillus subtilis. RNAcentral's name for it is "bacterial SSU rRNA". It matches the Rfam family "Bacterial small subunit ribosomal RNA", at positions 119 to 865 of the family's 1533-position model. Lineage: Bacteria; Bacillati; Bacillota; Bacilli; Caryophanales; Bacillaceae. The record is from RNAcentral.
GGGUAACCUGCCUGUAAGACUGGGAUAAACUCCCGGGAAACCGGGGCUAAUACCCGGAUGGUUGUUUGAUCCGCAUGGUUCAAACAUAAAAGGUGGCUUCGGCUACCACUUACAGAUGGACCCGCGGCGCAUUAGCUAGUUGGUGAGGUAACGGCUCACCAAGGCAACGAUGCGUAGCCGACCUGAGAGGGUGAUCGGCCACACUGGGACUGAGACACGGCCCAGACUCCUACGGGAGGCAGCAGUAGGGAAUCUUCCGCAAUGGACGAAAGUCUGACGGAGCAACGCCGCGUGAGUGAUGAAGGUUUUCGGAUCGUAAAGCUCUGUUGUUAGGGAAGAACAAGUACCGUUCGAAUAGGGCGGUACCUUGACGGUACCUAACCAGAAAGCCACGGCUAACUACGUGCCAGCAGCCGCGGUAAUACGUAGGUGGCAAGCGUUGUCCGGAAUUAUUGGGCGUAAAGGGCUCGCAGGCGGUUUCUUAAGUCUGAUGUGAAAGCCCCCGGCUCAACCGGGGAGGGUCAUUGGAAACUGGGGAACUUGAGUGCAGAAGAGGAGAGUGGAAUUCCACGUGUAGCGGUGAAAUGCGUAGAGAUGUGGAGGAACACCAGUGGCGAAGGCGACUCUCUGGUCUGUAACUGACGCUGAGGAGCGAAAGCGUGGGGAGCGAACAGGAUUAGAUACCCUGGUAGUCCACGCCGUAAACGAUGAGUGCUAAGUGUUAGGGGGUUUCCGCCCCUUAGUGCUGCAGCUAACGCAUUAAGC